AGGUAUAAAUACUGAGCAAAAAAACUACACAUGACAGUUUUGUGACAAGCUUCUGUUGUACGUAGCAAGCAGCGCUCUUUGCAAAUUACGGAUUUUAUUAUAACAAAAAGAUGCAACGCAACCCCAUGUCUAACGGUAUGCCCUGUGCAUUUGUAUUUGGGCCCAAUAGAUCUCCAGUGGCACCUAACCCUUGUGCCCCUCAAGGACAACGGUUCUCUCCCUGCUUCGGCCCUGCACCCAUGAGCUCAAAUUUACCAAC
Long non-coding RNA from Papilio polytes (common Mormon), 259 nucleotides. RefSeq lists it as uncharacterized. The transcript has 2 exons. The record is from RefSeq and is a predicted model, not a curated record. Lineage: Eukaryota; Metazoa; Arthropoda; Insecta; Lepidoptera; Papilionidae.